UGCAUUCGCUACUGUAAGUCGCUCUGGAUAAGAGCAUCUGCUAAAUGACUCAAA
Molecule: non-coding RNA, 54 nt
Organism: Salmo salar (Atlantic salmon)
Lineage: Eukaryota; Metazoa; Chordata; Actinopteri; Salmoniformes; Salmonidae
Source: Rfam